UUGGCCGUGGAAACAGAAAUUAAAGACAGAAUUUAAAAACAACAAAAUAACAAAAAGCCUAAAUCCAAAAAUGGGAAAUCAGGCCCAACGAAAGAGAGGUUCAAAGAGAGAGAGAGCACCUAACGGUGCCGCCAGGGAAGGUCUCUACUCGGAGAAAGCCGAGCGACCAAAAACCCCACACCACGAGCCACUCCACUAAGAAAACCCUUGCCAGAACAGCAUCAAAUCUACCAAAUCUACAUCAGAAAACUUAUAGGAGAUCAACAAACUCACAACACCAAAUCUACAGCGCCGCCGUGACCAAAACGAGGGGAUAUUGCCUUGCCUCACCAGAACUUCGAUGGAACGUUCCUUUGAGAAAGUUGUGUUACUGUCGUCGGAGCAACAUCUGUUUCUCAGGGAAGGAAGCCAUCCGGAGGUUAACAAAGACGAGGAGCUCUACCCGCCAACACUAGCUGUCCAGAACUGAACUGAACUGAACUGAACUGGAGAUGAUGAAGCUGAGGGUGAAAUCGCCAAAUGCUUUGGAUCUCCAUCGGAGAGCUUGACUGAAGUUCCGAUCGGCCAAGACACAAUGAAGGGGGCCCUCUCCGGUCGCAAGCGAGGGCCGCCGCGAACCCGAGAGGCAGAUCUGAAAAAUUUGGUUUCGCCACUUGAAUUCGAGAGAGAAAAGAAGGGAGCGCGCGAGGCUGAAUGGAUUCUUCCAAUAGUGAUGCAAAUUAAUCAUCAUCUUUUCCUUGAAACUAACAUGGAUAAAAAAGGACUUUCAGACCAAAAAAAAUAUUCUAAGAGUGAAACUAAUAUUUAUACGGGAAUGUACAAGAGAAUUUGUACGGUAAAAUUGGAAGAAAAAAAACGUGAGCAAAGAGUUCAAUUAAGAAAAAAGAACUAGAAUGCUUAACUAGUACUAUAUUUUUAAUUACAACGGGAAUGCAUUUUCCUGAACUAGGAAACAACUAAAUUGAAUAUUAUUCUAUUUUUUUUUGGAUUUGGCAUGACUGAUGAGUAUCCGAUUUUAUUCAAAGGUUCAAACUCCAGAAAAGAAGAAAAAAGAAAGAAAAAUGCGAUUUCUAGGGUUUCGUCCGUACAGUGACUGCGAGAUUUCAGAUCCUUAGAUCUACAAGUCGAAACCCUAAAAUUCAUUCAGGGAGUCCGGAAAGUGAUUCGCUGCAUCCAAGGAAGCUUUGGGCAAGAGAUUUCAAGCAAGAACGAAUUGAGAACCCAGACUAGCGAGGAGCUGUUUGGGGGUCGAUAUUCGAGUUCCAGGAUGAAUCGCACAAAGAAGAAGAAAGAACUGUCUCUUACGGAACAAUUAAGGGAGAGAGAUCUGCUUGGAGAAGGGGAUCUGGUAGAAAUCCCCGAUUUGGAAAACGAAGAUCUAAUUGAAGAGAACUCAAAAAGGGGAUCUGGUAGUGAGGAUUAAGGUUCACAAACUGAGGUUUUAUGACUUGGUUUUGCCAAGAAACUUGAAGAGUCAAGUCUUUUAUAUCUCCAUGGAGAAUGCUCGUUUGGCUACUCUUCAGGUUGGUGGUCGAAAAUACAUAGUGUUUACACUACGAGGCUAAAAGAUGCAAAAAGACUGACCGAUGACAUUAAAAAAGCUAAUGUGUGAAUAUGUUGUGUUAUACCUUUAUUCCAGAUCAUUGUUCGUAAAUAUCUUUGUUCUCAUUGUGGUUCUUUGCUCACACAUCUGAUGUUUCAUGUUGGCACAACAUUUCAAGCAUCUAUGUACCACUUCCACUUCAGAUUCUUUUCAUCUUGGCAGAAUCUUAGGGUAUUGUGGAUUGCAAGGAUCAGUUCCUGAUUUAAGAAGGAUACAAGCACAAGUUAUCUCUUUCCUCUCUCUUCUCUUUUUUUGUAUUUCUGAUGCUACAUCCAUUAAUCCUACUUGUCUCUGUUAUUUCAUGUUAAGGGUAACAACCGAAGAGCUUGCUGUUACAAGAGGUUAAGGGUGACAACCGAAGAUCAACUUCUCUAUUGCAGAUCGCUAUUGCAAUUAUUGAGUCCGGAUUCUUCACCUUAUUUCAGCCAGGAUGAUAAUUAAUCGUUUUUGUAAUCUUUUUUUAAUAUGCUUUUAUAUAUGUAAUUUUAAAUUUUAUGAAAUGCAAU
Molecule: non-coding RNA, 2109 nt
Organism: Camelina sativa (false flax)
Lineage: Eukaryota; Viridiplantae; Streptophyta; Magnoliopsida; Brassicales; Brassicaceae
Source: RefSeq, a predicted model, not a curated record